UGGGAAAAGGUGACUUGGCCUGUGAGCGGAGUUUGAACCGCGGCAAUGGUUCGAUUCCCAUGCUUGCCAUCUGCAUACGCUCUGUACUCUUCUCAGUACACCUUCAGCCAGCUUAAUCUGGCGAGUCUGUAGCCUCCAGACUCACUCUGCCUUUUUACCCUUUUCUUCAAAUCAGGAGUAGAGAAGGCGUUAGUGGUCCUGGUUCAAAACCUCCCAGCAGCAGUAUGUUUUGAGCACACACCUCAGCUUUUUUGCCUCUUUUCAGCAGACCAUUUGCAGCUACACCAGUCACUACUUUACAUCCUUUCUUUUUUGGUGGAUAUACCAGUGCUUACAGCUACAUCCACCCCGGGAAAUGUGUGGUGAGGGAGAACAUCAGGACCAAGCUGCGUUUCCUUGGUCCAGAGGUUUGGAGAAAGUUCUUCCCUUUCUUUCAUCACAGCUGUCCUGUGCCAGAUGUUCUAUUGACCCACUGAGAGAGGCAUAAUUGGAGAAACAUCAGGAAGACUGAAGCUGAUCGCAGGAAUCAAGGAGGACCUCGAGAUCUUCACCACCAGCUCCCUCACAAGGAAAUCUUCCGAAGUCCACUGUAGGCACGGCCCAGAAGAUGGAUAAACCCAGCAUUUAAUGAACACACUGGAACUAAUCUAUCUUCAUAACAGAGUGUUUUUCUAAACAUGGAGAAAAAAGAUGGAAGAAACCGAUCUGACUUUCCCGUCUCCUGCCUCCGAUGAUCACUGUGACCUCAGAGGGCAACUGGUGUGCAAAGCUGGAACUGGAGUGAGGGAGAGAGGAGUCAUCAUCCAGCUUGAAAGAAAACAUCCGGCUGAUCAGCAGGAGGAGAAAAGUCUGACGGAGCAGCAGAGGAACAUUUUCAGCCGUUUGCACUCAGCUCAGCUACUACAGAGAAAAUGAUGAGCUCAACACAGAAGCCUUCUAUUUGGGAUUUUCCCCCGACAUUUCUUGGUCCUUCGAAGCCGGAUGGGACGGCCUAUUUAAAGCAUCUCCCAUAAGAAGCGGCUCAUCAGGUCCCGUCGGUGCGAGAAUCCCACGUUGAAGUCUGCCGGCAGCUCACGCACUAGAGGUGUGAUAAAAUCCAAGAGCGUGAAUUCGGGUCUUGGUCAACGUUUUACAAGCGGUCCGCACCGUCGGGGGCUGAUCAGGUGCAUCUGAAGAAACCAGCGCCAAGUAUCUUGCAGGUUGAAGCCAGGUGAUUGGGUCCUGAUUCGAGUUCUCCAUAGAAAGAAUUGGAGCUCGCCCCGCUGGGAAGGUCCCUACCAAGUGCUCAUCACCACACCAACCGCCUGUAAGAUAGCAGAGAGACCAUCUUGGAUUCACCAAAGCCACUGCAAGAAAGUGAGUGACAGCCUAGACUCAUAGACUCCAGCACCCCUACCUUCUGGUGAUCUACCUGGUGAAGAGAGGGCUGAUUGGGUAUAUCCCGCCCUCUACUUCUCGCCAGUAGUCUACUCACCCGAGGAUCUAGGUGUGCUUGGCUGUCAUGAGGACACUCGCCAUCCUAGCAGCUGUCCUCCUGCUCCUAGCAGGCUACGUUCACACUGCAGGCGAAAGCGCAUCAAAUCCGAUUUUUUUGACCCUA
Long non-coding RNA from Oreochromis aureus, 1600 nucleotides. RefSeq lists it as uncharacterized. The record is from RefSeq and is a predicted model, not a curated record. NCBI's taxonomy places the organism in Eukaryota, Metazoa, Chordata, Actinopteri, Cichliformes, Cichlidae. The transcript has 6 exons.